CCGGCGUCUCCGGGUCCCUCUCCUUCGGGGAAUUCGGCAAACACAAGCCCUGCAGCAGAGAUGAGGCCUGUAAUCCAGACACUUCAAGGUCAUGGGAGCUGUCACCUUCUCCUAGAAUCUCCAUAUUGAGCAGCAGUCGGGGAGCCAUAUUGAUGAAAUAGAGUGUCUUUCUUUUUCUCUACCAUCCACAUAAGAACUUAACUCAAGCACUUACAGCAUUAGAGAAAAGAAUAUUGUCUUCCAUAAACCAAUUCAUUGGCUGGAGAGGGCCAGUCUGGAUACCCAAGAAUUCAUUAUAUUAAACGUUUGUUUUAUUGUU
Long non-coding RNA from Eptesicus fuscus (big brown bat), 319 nucleotides. RefSeq lists it as uncharacterized. The record is from RefSeq and is a predicted model, not a curated record. The transcript is spliced from 2 exons. NCBI's taxonomy places the organism in Eukaryota, Metazoa, Chordata, Mammalia, Chiroptera, Vespertilionidae.